RNAcentral lists this transfer RNA (69 nucleotides) under Bos taurus (domestic cattle). It matches the Rfam family "tRNA". From Rfam's summary of the family: Transfer RNA (tRNA) molecules are approximately 80 nucleotides in length. Lineage: Eukaryota; Metazoa; Chordata; Mammalia; Artiodactyla; Bovidae. The record is from Rfam by way of RNAcentral. RNAcentral also lists the same sequence under 4 other names.
CCUGGUGUCUCAGAUGGUAAAGAACCUGCCUGAAAUGCAGGAGACCUGGGUAUGAUCCCUGAGUCAGGA